This 338-nucleotide unclassified non-coding RNA is filed under the name soil metagenome. RNAcentral's name for it is "partial contains 5.8S ribosomal RNA, internal transcribed spacer 2, and large subunit ribosomal RNA". The stretch from base 1 to 120 matches the Rfam family "5.8S ribosomal RNA", at positions 35 to 154 of the family's 154-position model. The record is from RNAcentral.
GAUGAAGAACGUAGCGAAAUGCGAUACGUAAUGUGAAUUGCAGAAUUCAGUGAAUCAUCGAAUCUUUGAACGCACAUUGCGCCCCUUGGUAUUCCAUGGGGCAUGCCUGUUCGAGCGUCAUUUACACCCUCAAGCUCUGCUUGGUGUUGGGCGUCUGUCCCGCUGCUUUGCGCGGACUCGCCUCAAAGGUAUUGGCAGCGAUCAUGCCAGCUUCUCGCGCAGCACAUUGCGCUUCUUGAAGUUCUGGUGGAUCAGCGUCCAUUAAGCUUACCUUCAUGACUUGACCUCGGAUCAGGUAGGGAUACCCGCUGAACUUAAGCAUAUCAAUAAGCGGAGGA